Long non-coding RNA from Manacus vitellinus (golden-collared manakin), 459 nucleotides. RefSeq lists it as uncharacterized. Lineage: Eukaryota; Metazoa; Chordata; Aves; Passeriformes; Pipridae. The record is from RefSeq and is a predicted model, not a curated record. The transcript is spliced from 2 exons.
GGUGGAGCACAUCUGUCCCCUGGGUCUCUUGAUCUUUGGAAGUCAGGGGCUGUUCUCAGUUAGAAAUGCAAUUUCAAAAUUCCUUCAUCUUUUGAUAUUCGGGUUUCAGGUUUUUGGGGUUUGCUCUAAACUUUUUUUUCUGUAAUACCAAGCUUUAUGUGUUUUCCACAGAGUGUCAGAAAAAUCAUAAGCACAAACUGCAGCUGGUGCUUCUGUGGCCAGUGAGGAUCAGUGGGAGCAAAUGAGGUGCUCCCCACACUGCUUGGCUUUUGGAGGCACUGGCUGUGCCUGUCCUUCUCUGCCCUUUGGGGACAAAACUGGUGUAAUGAUUGCACUCGGAUUCCUUCAGGCUCCAAACCAGACAAGAGAUAGGAACCAGGAAUCCUUUUCAGAGUCGUGUUUUAACAAAGGAUAUUCCUCUUGUUUUUCCAGACACGCAACUUACAAUAUUUGGAGUUG